UACGGGGGGGGCAAGCGUUGUUCGGAAUUACUGGGCGUAAAGGGCUCGUAGGCGGCUAACUAAGUCGGAUGUGAAAUCCCCAGGCUUAACCUGGGAACUGCAUCCGAUACUGGAUGGCUUGAAUUCGGGAGAGGGAUGCAGAAUUCCAGGUGUAGCGGUGAAAUGCGUAGAUAUCUGGAGGAAUACCGGUGGCGAAGGCGGCAUCCUGGACCGACAUUGACGCUGAGGAGCGAAAGCGAGGGGAGCAAACGGG
Molecule: ribosomal RNA, 253 nt
Filed under: uncultured bacterium
Lineage: Bacteria
Description: partial 16S ribosomal RNA
Rfam family: Bacterial small subunit ribosomal RNA
Source: RNAcentral